UCAAACGUUCAUAAAACAAGUCGCAUGC
This 28-nucleotide small RNA is filed under the name Bombyx mori (domestic silkworm). Its description in RNAcentral is "ovarian small RNA-24416". Lineage: Eukaryota; Metazoa; Arthropoda; Insecta; Lepidoptera; Bombycidae. The record is from RNAcentral.